Molecule: ribosomal RNA, 157 nt
Filed under: uncultured Pseudomonas sp.
Lineage: Bacteria; Pseudomonadati; Pseudomonadota; Gammaproteobacteria; Pseudomonadales; Pseudomonadaceae
Description: partial 16S ribosomal RNA
Rfam family: Bacterial small subunit ribosomal RNA
Source: RNAcentral
GGCUGCCUGAUGCAGCCAUGCCGCGUGUGUGAAGAAGGCCUUCGGGUUGUAAAGCACUUUUGGUGGGGAGGAAGGUGGGGAAGUUAAUACCUUGGUGUCCUGACGUUACCCACAGAAUAAGCACCGGCUAACUCUGUGCCCGCAGCCCCGGUACUAG